RNAcentral lists this ribosomal RNA (244 nucleotides) under uncultured Staphylococcus sp. Its description in RNAcentral is "partial 16S ribosomal RNA". It matches the Rfam family "Bacterial small subunit ribosomal RNA", at positions 96 to 334 of the family's 1533-position model. The record is from RNAcentral. Lineage: Bacteria; Bacillati; Bacillota; Bacilli; Caryophanales; Staphylococcaceae.
CGGCGGACGGGUGAGUAACACGUGGAUAACCUACCUAUAAGACUGGGAUAACUUCGGGAAACCGGAGCUAAUACCGGAUAAUAUAUUGAACCGCAUGGUUCAAUAGUGAAAGACGGUUUUGCUGUCACUUAUAGAUGGAUCCGCGCCGCAUUAGCUAGUUGGUAAGGUAACGGCUUACCAAGGCAACGAUGCGUAGCCGACCUGAGAGGGUGAUCGGCCACACUGGAACCGAGACACGGUCCAG